RNAcentral lists this ribosomal RNA (547 nucleotides) under uncultured bacterium. RNAcentral's name for it is "partial 16S ribosomal RNA". It matches the Rfam family "Bacterial small subunit ribosomal RNA", at positions 355 to 895 of the family's 1533-position model. The record is from RNAcentral.
UGGGGAAUUUUGGACAAUGGGCGAAAGCCUGAUCCAGCAAUGCCGCGUGUGUGAAGAAGGCCUUCGGGUUGUAAAGCACUUUUGUCCGGAAAGAAAUCCUUGGCUCUAAUACAGUCGGGGGAUGACGGUACCGGAAGAAUAAGCACCGGCUAACUACGUGCCAGCAGCCGCGGUAAUACGUAGGGUGCAAGCGUUAAUCGGAAUUACUGGGCGUAAAGCGUGCGCAGGCGGCUUGCUAAGACCGAUGUGAAAUCCCCGGGCUCAACCUGGGAACUGCAUUGGUGACUGGCAGGCUAGAGUAUGGCAGAGGGGGGUAGAAUUCCACGUGUAGCAGUGAAAUGCGUAGAGAUGUGGAGGAAUACCGAUGGCGAAGGCAGCCCCCUGGGCCAAUACUGACGCUCAUGCACGAAAAGCUGGGGAGCAAACAGGACUAGAUACCCUGGUAGUCCAGCGCCCUAAACGAUGUCAACUAGUUGUUGGGGAUUCAUUCCUUAGUAACGUAGCUAACGCGUGAAGUUGACCGCCUGGGGAGUACGGUCGCAAGAUU